UUCCUACGGGGGGCAGCAGUGGGGAAUAUUGCACAAUGGGGGAAACCCUGAUGCAGCGACGCCGCGUGAGUGAAGAAGUAUUUCGGUAUGUAAAGCUCUAUCAGCAGGGAAGAAAAUGACGGUACCUGACUAAGAAGCCCCGGCUAACUACGUGCCAGCAGCCGCGGUAAUACGUAGGGGGCAAGCGUUAUCCGGAUUUACUGGGUGUAAAGGGAGCGUAGACGGCGCAGCAAGUCUGAUGUGAAAGGUCGGGGCCCAACCCCGGGACUGCAUUGGAAACUGUUGAACUGGAGUACAGGAGAGGG
RNAcentral lists this ribosomal RNA (305 nucleotides) under uncultured bacterium. RNAcentral describes it as "bacterial SSU rRNA". It matches the Rfam family "Bacterial small subunit ribosomal RNA", at positions 336 to 658 of the family's 1533-position model. The record is from RNAcentral.